Molecule: ribosomal RNA, 242 nt
Filed under: uncultured Alphaproteobacteria bacterium
Lineage: Bacteria; Pseudomonadati; Pseudomonadota; Alphaproteobacteria
Description: partial 16S ribosomal RNA
Rfam family: Bacterial small subunit ribosomal RNA
Source: RNAcentral
UCGAACGCCCCGCAAGGGGAGUGGCAGACGGGUGAGUAACGCGUGGGAAUCUACCGUACCCUACGGAAUAACGCAUGGAAACGUGUGCUAAUACCGUAUACGCCCUACGGGGGAAAGAUUUAUCGGGGUAUGAUGAGCCCGCGUUGGAUUAGCUAGUUGGUGGGGUAAAGGCCUACCAAGGCGACGAUCCAUAGCUGGUCUGAGAGGAUGAUCAGCCACAUUGGGACUGAGACACGGCCCAA